This 1461-nucleotide ribosomal RNA is filed under the name Acetivibrio sp. Its description in RNAcentral is "bacterial SSU rRNA". It matches the Rfam family "Bacterial small subunit ribosomal RNA". Lineage: Bacteria; Bacillati; Bacillota; Clostridia; Acetivibrionales; Acetivibrionaceae. The record is from RNAcentral.
AUGGCUCAGGACGAACGCUGGCGGCGUGCCUAACACAUGCAAGUCGAGCGAGAAUCUUCCAUUGGAGCCCUUCGGGGCGAAGAAGGAAGAGGAGAGCGGCGGACGGGUGAGUAACGCGUGAGCAACCUGCCUUAAGGAGGGGGAUAACACAGGGAAACCUGUGCUAAUACCGCAUAAAAUAUAUUUACCGCAUGGUAGAUAUAUCAAAACUGAGGUGCCUUAAGAUGGGCUCGCGUCCAAUUAGCUAGUUGGAGGGGUAACGGCCCACCAAGGCAACGAUUGGUAGCCGGACUGAGAGGUUGAACGGCCACAUUGGAACUGAGAAACGGUCCAGACUCCUACGGGAGGCAGCAGUGGGGGAUAUUGCGCAAUGGGGGAAACCCUGACGCAGCAACGCCGCGUGAAGGAAGAAGGCCUUCGGGUUGUAAACUUUUGUCUUUUGGGAAGAAGAAUGACGGUACCAAAGGAGGAAGCCACGGCUAACUACGUGCCAGCAGCCGCGGUAAUACGUAGGUGGCGAGCGUUGUCCGGAAUUACUGGGUGUAAAGGGCGUGUAGGCGGGCAGAUAAGUCAGAUGUGAAAUACCGGGGCUCAACCCCGGGGCUGCAUUUGAAACUGUAUGUCUUGAGUGCCGGAGAGGAAAGCGGAAUUCCUAGUGUAGCGGUGAAAUGCGUAGAUAUUAGGAGGAACACCAGUGGCGAAGGCGGCUUUCUGGACGGUAACUGACGCUGAGGCGCGAAAGCGUGGGGAGCAAACAGGAUUAGAUACCCUGGUAGUCCACGCUGUAAACGAUGAAUACUAGGUGUAGGGGGUAUCGACUCCCCCUGUGCCGCAGUCAACACAAUAAGUAUUCCACCUGGGGAGUACGACCGCAAGGUUGAAACUCAAAGGAAUUGACGGGGACCCGCACAAGCAGUGGAGUAUGUGGUUUAAUUCGAAGAUACGCGAAGAACCUUACCAGGGCUUGACAUCCCUCUGACCGCGCUAGAGAUAGCGUUUCUCUUCGGAGCAGAGGUGACAGGUGGUGCAUGGUUGUCGUCAGCUCGUGUCGUGAGAUGUUGGGUUAAGUCCCGCAACGAGCGCAACCCUUAUCGUUAGUUGCCAGCACAUAAAGGUGGGCACUCUAGCGAGACUGCCGAUGACAAAUCGGAGGAAGGUGGGGAUGACGUCAAAUCAUCAUGCCCCUUAUGUCCUGGGCUACACACGUACUACAAUGGCCAUUAACAACGGGGAGCGAAGCCGCGAGGCGGAGCAAAUCCCAAAACAUGGUCUCAGUUCAGAUUGCAGGCUGAAACUCGCCUGUAUGAAGACGGAAUUGCUAGUAAUCGCGAAUCAGAAUGUCGCGGUGAAUACGUUCCCGGGUCUUGUACACACCGCCCGUCACACCAUGAGAGUCGGUAACACCCGAAGCCUGUAGCCUAACCUUAGGGAGGGCGCAGUCGAAGUGGGAUUGAUGAUUGG